UGAGACCUCGGGACUGAAUCUGCAGUACAGUCGCUUGUCUGAGACCGAGCAGCCAGGUCACGGAAAAAGAAACUCAUUGUGUAAUAUCAGUUGGGGCGCUUUCAGUCGGACCAAUGCUGCUGGCGUUGCUGCAGACUCCCCUGCCUUCCAGCAGGGCUCGGAGGGGCCUCGGAUCAUCCUCUGAAGGUGCACACCGUAGACCGUCGGCGCAGCUCACAGUGUACACCCCACAUGGUUCUCCAAGGGUCAGAGCGGUGCCAUUUACAUUCACGGUCGGCUGACUCUGUGUGGACUUUGAUUUACAGGUGGCACAUCCUCUGGACGGCGUGGUC
Molecule: long non-coding RNA, 332 nt
Organism: Centropristis striata (black sea bass)
Lineage: Eukaryota; Metazoa; Chordata; Actinopteri; Perciformes; Serranidae
Exons: 3
Source: RefSeq, a predicted model, not a curated record